CAGUAGCCGCGGUAAUACGUAGGUCCCGAGCGUUGUCCGGAUUUAUUGGGCGUAAAGCGAGCGCAGGCGGUUUCUUAAGUCUGAUGUGAAAGCCCCCGGCUCAACCGGGGAGGGUCAUUGGAAACUGGGAAACUUGAGUGCAGAAGAGGAGAGUGGAAUUCCACGUGUAGCGGUGAAAUGCGUAGAGAUGUGGAGGAACACCAGUGGCGAAGGCGACUCUCUGGUCUGUAACUGACGCUGAGGAGCGAAAGCGUGGGGAGCGAACAGGAUUAGAUACCCCAGUAGUCCCUGUCUCUUAUAA
Molecule: ribosomal RNA, 301 nt
Filed under: uncultured bacterium
Lineage: Bacteria
Description: partial 16S ribosomal RNA
Rfam family: Bacterial small subunit ribosomal RNA
Source: RNAcentral